Molecule: ribosomal RNA, 498 nt
Filed under: uncultured bacterium
Lineage: Bacteria
Description: partial 16S ribosomal RNA
Rfam family: Bacterial small subunit ribosomal RNA
Source: RNAcentral
AUUGAACGCUGGCGGCAUGCCUUACACAUGCAAGUCGAACGGUAACAGGUCUUCGGAUGCUGACGAGUGGCGAACGGGUGAGUAAUACAUCGGAACGUGCCUAGUAGUGGGGGAUAACUACUCGAAAGAGUGGCUAAUACCGCAUGAGAUCUACGGAUGAAAGCAGGGGAUCGCAAGACCUUGUGCUACUAGAGCGGCCGAUGGCAGAUGAGGUAGUGGGUGGGAUAAAAGCUUACCAAGCCGACGAUCUGUAGCUGGUCUGAGAGGACGAUCAGCCACAAUGGGACUGAGAAACGGCCCAGACUCCGACGGGAGGCAGCAGUGGGGAAGUUUGGACAAUGGGCGCAAGCCUGAUCCAGCAAUGCCGCGUGCAGGAUGAAGGCCUUCGGGUUGUAAACUGCUUUUGUACGGAACGAAAAGCCCCGGGUUAAUACCCUGGGGUCAUGACGGUACCGUAAGAAUAAGCACCGGCUAACUACGUGCCAGCCGCCGCGGUAA